Molecule: ribosomal RNA, 439 nt
Filed under: uncultured bacterium
Lineage: Bacteria
Description: partial 16S ribosomal RNA
Rfam family: Bacterial small subunit ribosomal RNA
Source: RNAcentral
CUACGGGUGGCUCCAGUGGGGGAUAUUGCACAAUGGGCGAAAGCCUGAUGCAGCAACGCCGCGUGAAGGAAGACGGUUUUCGGAUUGUAAACUUCUAUCAGCAGGGAAGAAAAUGACUGUACCUGACUAAGAAGCCCCGGCUAACUACGUGCCAGCAGCCGCGGUAAUACGUAGGGGGCAAGCGUUAUCCGGAAUUACUGGGUGUAAAGGGUACGUAGGCGGCUGAUCAAGUCAGAUGUGAAAGCCCGGGGCUCAACCCCGGGACUGCAUUUGAAACUGGUUGGCUAGAGUGCAGGAGAGGAAAGUGGAAUUCCUAGUGUAGCGGUGAAAUGCGUAGAUAUUAGGAAGAACACCAGUGGCGAAGGCGGCUUUCUGGACUGUAACUGACGCUGAGGUACGAAAGCGUGGGGAGCGAACAGGAUUAGAUACCCGGGUAGUC